UAGGGAAUCUUCGGCAAUGGGGGCAACCCUGACCGAGCAACGCCGCGUGAGUGAAGAAGGUUUUCGGAUCGUAAAGCUCUGUUGUAAGAGAAGAACGAGUGUGAGAGUGGAAAGUUCACACUGUGACGGUAACUUACCAGAAAGGGACAGCUAACUACGUGCCAGCAGCCGCGGUAAUACGUAGGUCCCGAGCGUUAUCCGGAUUUAUUGGGCGUAAAGCGAGCGCAGGCGGUUAGAUAAGUCUGAAGUUAAAGGCUGUGGCUUAACCAUAGUACGCUUUGGAAACUGUUUAACUUGAGUGCAGAAGGGGAGAGUGGAAUUCCAUGUGUAGCGGUGAAAUGCGUAGAUAUAUGGAGGAACACCGGUGGCGAAAGCGGCUCUCUGGUCUGUAACUGACGCUGAGGCUCGAAAGCGUGGGGAGCAAACAGGAUUAGAUACCCUGGUAGUCCACGCCGUAAACGAUGAGUGCUAGGUGUUGGGUCCUUUCCGGGACUCAGUGCCGCAGCUAACGCAUUAAGCACUCCGCCUGGGGAGUACGGCCGCAAGGUUA
This 550-nucleotide ribosomal RNA is filed under the name uncultured bacterium. RNAcentral's name for it is "bacterial SSU rRNA". It matches the Rfam family "Bacterial small subunit ribosomal RNA", at positions 355 to 896 of the family's 1533-position model. The record is from RNAcentral.